Molecule: ribosomal RNA, 1259 nt
Filed under: Camarochiloides weiweii
Lineage: Eukaryota; Metazoa; Arthropoda; Insecta; Hemiptera; Pachynomidae
Description: 16S ribosomal RNA
Rfam family: Bacterial large subunit ribosomal RNA (bases 822-1190)
Source: RNAcentral
UCUUAUUGAAUUAUUUUUUUUGUUUAUUUUUAUUAUUUUAAUUGAAAUAUUUUUUUUCUAAGUAAAUUUAUUGAAUUGAUUGUUGUUUUUAUAGUUUAUAGUACUGUGAAGGAAUUUUUUUAUGUUUUUAUAAGUAGUUUUUUUUUAAUGUACCUUUUGUAUCAGGGUUAAUUAAAAUUUUUUACUUAAGGUAAUUUUCCCGAAUUUAAAUGAGAUAAAUUAAAAAUUUAAUUAUUGUUUCAUAAAUAAUAUGAAUUUUAAUUUAGGGGGGAUAUCCUAUUCAUAUUUAAUAUAUCUGGUUUCUUAAUAAUUAAAUUUAAUUUAGGAGUAAAAUUUUUAUUCAUUGAAUUUAAUUCAUGUUUUAUAUUUUAUUCUAAUAUUCCUAGGGAUUAGCUUGGGUUUUUAUUUAUAAAUUUUUUAUUUUAUUAGUUUUUGUAGGCUUACUAUCAGCCAUCAUUUAUUUCGUUAUAGAAAAUUCUUUUCUUUUGUUUUAUUUUGUUAUUUUUAAUUUUUUAUUAAGAUUUUUUAAUUAAUUUUUUCUUGAAAGUAAUAAUGAUUAAAUUAGUAUUUUUGUGAAUUGAUUUAUAGUAACUCGGCAAAUUUUACUUCCGCCUGUUUAACAAAAACAUGUCCUUUUGGGUAUUUUUUUAAGGUCUAACCUGCCCCAUGAUUAAUUAAAUGGCCGCGGUAUUUUGACCGUGCAAAGGUAGCAUAAUCAUUUGUCCUUUAAUUGAGGGCUUGUAUGAAUGGUUGGACGAGAUGUAGUCUUUCUUUAUUUUAAUUUAUGAAUUUAAUUUUUUAGUUAAAAAGCUGAAAUUUUUUUAUUGGACGAGAAGACCCUGUAGAACUUUAUAUUUAAUUAUUAUUUCUGUCUUGUUGUUUGUUUGUUGUUUGGAAUUUAAUUAAUUAUUAUGUUGGGGCGACAGGAAAAUUUAAUUAACUUUUUUUAUCUUUAUUCAUUAAUUAGUGUUUUUUUGACCCUUUAUUAAGGAUUAAAAGUUUAAGUUACCUCAGGGAUAACAGCGUAAUUUUUUCGGAGAGUUCAUAUCGAUGAAGAAGUUUGCGACCUCGAUGUUGGAUUAAAAUUAGAUUUAGGUGCAGGAGCUUAAAUUUCUAGGUCUGUUCGACCUUUAAUUUUUUACAUGAUCUGAGUUAAGGCCGGCGUGAGCCAGGUUGGUUUCUAUCCAUAAUUUUAAUUUAGUAGUUUAGUACGAAAGGACCUACUUCUAGAAUAAUAUUUUAUAUUUUGAGUAUUUAUU